AGAGCAGGCACAGAGGUGUGACGAGACUC
Molecule: non-coding RNA, 29 nt
Filed under: Homo sapiens (human)
Lineage: Eukaryota; Metazoa; Chordata; Mammalia; Primates; Hominidae
Source: RNAcentral